Molecule: unclassified non-coding RNA, 285 nt
Filed under: plant metagenome
Description: partial contains small subunit ribosomal RNA, internal transcribed spacer 1, and 5.8S ribosomal RNA
Rfam family: Eukaryotic small subunit ribosomal RNA (bases 1-54)
Source: RNAcentral
GGAAGUAAAGGUCGUAACAAGGUUUCCGUAGGUGAACCUGCGGAAGGAUCAUUAUUGUAUAACCGAGGUGCGAGGGCUGUCGCUGACCCGAAAGGUCGUGCACGCCCGAGUGCCCUCACACACAUCCAUCUCACCCCUAUGCGCACCACCGCGUGGGUCCCCCUUUGGCUUGUUCGGAGGGGGGCUUACGUUUUCACACAAACUUUGUAUGCAGUGUAGAAUGUAUUUUUUGUUUUUGCGAUCACGCAAUCAAUACAACUUUCAACAACGGAUCUCUUGGCUCUC